This 1458-nucleotide ribosomal RNA is filed under the name uncultured bacterium. RNAcentral's name for it is "16S ribosomal RNA". It matches the Rfam family "Bacterial small subunit ribosomal RNA". The record is from RNAcentral.
UGAACGCUGGCGGUAUGCUUAACACAUGCAAGUCGAACGGAAACGAAACUAGCUUGCUAGUAGGCGUCGAGUGGCGGACGGGUGAGUAACGCGUAGGAAUCUGCCUGAUAGUGGGGGAUAGCCCGAAGAAAUUCGGAUUAAUACCGCAUAAUCUAUUCGUAGUAAAGUGGGGGACUUUCGAGCCUCACGCUAUCAGAUGAGCCUGCGUAAGAUUAGCUUGUUGGUAGGGUAAAAGCCUACCAAGGCAACGAUCUUUAGCUGGUCUGAGAGGAUGAUCAGCCACAUCGGGACUGAGACACGGCCCGAACUCCUACGGGAGGCAGCAGUGGGGAAUAUUGGACAAUGGGGGCAACCCUGAUCCAGCAAUACCGCGUGUGUGAAGAAGGCCUGAGGGUUGUAAAGCACUUUCAAUUGUGAAGAAAAGUUAACGGUUAAUAACCGUUGACCUUGACGUUAACUUUAGAAGAAGCACCGGCUAACUCCGUGCCAGCAGCCGCGGUAAUACGGAGGGUGCAAGCGUUAAUCGGAAUUACUGGGCGUAAAGCGUGCGUAGGCGGUUUAUUAAGUCAGAUGUGAAAGCCCCGGGCUUAACCUGGGAACUGCAUUUGAAACUGGUCAACUAGAGUAUGGUAGAGGAAAGUGGAAUUUCUGGUGUAGCGGUGAAAUGCGUAGAUAUCAGAAGGAACAUCAAUGGCGAAGGCAACUUUCUGGACCAAUACUGACGCUGAGGUACGAAAGCGUGGGUAGCAAACAGGAUUAGAUACCCUGGUAGUCCACGCCGUAAACGAUGAUAACUAGCCGUUGGGGGGAUUUACCCCUUAGUGGCGAAGCUAACGCGUUAAGUUAUCCGCCUGGGGAGUACGGCCGCAAGGCUAAAACUCAAAGGAAUUGACGGGGACCCGCACAGCGGUGGAGCAUGUGGUUUAAUUCGAUGCAACGCGAAGAACCUUACCUGGUCUUGACAUCCUGCGAACUUUCUAGAAAUAGAUUGGUGCCUUCGGGAACGCAGUGACAGGUGCUGCAUGGCUGUCGUCAGCUCGUGUCGUGAGAUGUUGGGUUAAGUCCCGUAACGAGCGCAACCCCUAUCCUUAUUUGCCAGCACAUUAUGGUGGGAACUAUAAGGAGACUGCCGGUGAUAAACCGGAGGAAGGCGGGGACGACGUCAAGUCAUCAUGGCCCUUACGACCAGGGCUACACACGUGCUACAAUGGGAAGGACAAAGAGCCGCGAAGCCGCGAGGUGUAGCUAAUCUCACAAAUCUUCUCGUAGUCCGGAUUGGAGUCUGCAACUCGACUCCAUGAAGUCGGAAUCGCUAGUAAUCGUAGAUCAGAAUGCUACGGUGAAUACGUUCCCGGGUCUUGUACACACCGCCCGUCAUACCAUGGGAGUGGGUUGCACCAGAAGUGGCUAGUCUAACUUUGUGAGGACGGUCACCACGGUGUGAUUCAUGACUGGGGU